RNAcentral lists this microRNA precursor (113 nucleotides) under Marmota monax (woodchuck). Lineage: Eukaryota; Metazoa; Chordata; Mammalia; Rodentia; Sciuridae. The record is from RNAcentral.
AGAAGGAUAGCUGGGUCAAAUGGUGGUUCCAAGAUCAUAUGAUUCCAUAUUUCCAAGGAAUCUCCAUAUUGCUUUCCAAAUUGGCUGCACCAAUUUGCAGUCCCACCAGCAAU